GCGCACCAGUCGCGAAUUUUUCACAAUGGGGAAACCCUGAUGGAGCGACGCCGCGUGGAGGAUGAAGGCCCUCGGGCCGUAGACUCCUGUCAUGCGGGAACAAGAAAGUGAUAGUACCGCAAGAGGAAGAGACGGCUAACUCUGUGCCAGCAGCCGCGGUAAUACAGAGGUCUCAAGCGUUAUUCGGAUUCAUUGGGCGUAAAGGGUGCGUAGGUGGCGAUGUAAGUCUGGUGUGAAAUCUCGGGGCUUCACCCCGAAACUGCAUUGGAUACUGCGUUGCUUGAGGAUUGUAGAGGAGAGUGGAAUUCACGGUGUAGCAGUGAAAUGCGUAGAUAUCGUGAGGAAGACCAGUUGCGAAGGCGACUCUCUGGGCAAUUCCUGACACUGAGGCACGAAGGCCAGGGGAGCAAACGGGAUUAGAUACCCCCGUAGU
Molecule: ribosomal RNA, 433 nt
Filed under: uncultured organism
Description: bacterial SSU rRNA
Rfam family: Bacterial small subunit ribosomal RNA
Source: RNAcentral